UACCAGCACCCCGAGUGGUCGGGACGUUUAUUGGGCCUAAAGCAUCCGUAGCCGGUUCUACAAGUCUUCCGUUAAAUCCAGCUGCUUAACAGAUGGGCUGCGGAGGAUACUAUAAGACUAGGAGGCAGGAGAGGCAAGCGGUACUCAGUGGGUAGGGGUAAAAUCCGUUGAUCCAUUGAAGACCACCAGCGGCGAAGGCGGCUUGCCAGAAUGCGCUCGACGGUGAGGGAUGAAAGCUGGGGGAGCAAACCGG
Molecule: ribosomal RNA, 253 nt
Filed under: uncultured bacterium
Lineage: Bacteria
Description: partial 16S ribosomal RNA
Rfam family: Archaeal small subunit ribosomal RNA
Source: RNAcentral